RNAcentral lists this ribosomal RNA (449 nucleotides) under uncultured bacterium. Its description in RNAcentral is "partial 16S ribosomal RNA". It matches the Rfam family "Bacterial small subunit ribosomal RNA", at positions 29 to 523 of the family's 1533-position model. The record is from RNAcentral.
AGCGAACGCUGGCGGCAGGCCUAACACAUGCAAGUCGAACGAACUCUUCGGAGUUAGUGGCGGACGGGUGAGUAACACGUGGGAACGUGCCUUUAGGUUCGGAAUAACUCAGGGAAACUUGUGCUAAUACCGAAUGUGCCCUUCGGGGGAAAGAUUUAUCGCCUUUAGAGCGGCCCGCGUCUGAUUAGCUAGUUGGUGAGGUAAAGGCUCACCAAGGCGACGAUCAGUAGCUGGUCUGAGAGGAUGAUCAGCGACAUUGGGACUGAGACACGGACCACACUCCUACGGGCGGCAGCAGUGGGGUAUCUUGCGCAAGGGGCGAGAGCCUGACGCAGCCAUGCCGCGUGAAUGAUGAAGGUCUUAGGAUUGUAAAAUUCUUUCACCGGGGACGAUAAUGACGGUACCCGGAGAAGAAGCCCCGGCUAACUUCGUGCCAGCAGCCGCCAUAA